Molecule: ribosomal RNA, 450 nt
Filed under: uncultured Phyllobacteriaceae bacterium
Lineage: Bacteria; Pseudomonadati; Pseudomonadota; Alphaproteobacteria; Hyphomicrobiales; Phyllobacteriaceae
Description: partial 16S ribosomal RNA
Source: RNAcentral
CACGAAGUUAGCCGGGGCUUCUUCUCAGGUUACCGUCAUUAUCUUCACCUGCGAAAGAGCUUUACAACCCUAGGGCCUUCAUCACUCACGCGGCAUGGCUGGAUCAGGCUUGCGCCCAUUGUCCAAUAUUCCCCACUGCUGCCUCCCGUAGGAGUCUGGGCCGUGUCUCAGUCCCAGUGUGGCUGAUCAUCCUCUCAGACCAGCUAUGGAUCGUCGCCUUGGUAGGCCAUUACCCCACCAACUAGCUAAUCCAACGCGGGCUCAUCCAUCCCCGAUAAAUCUUUCCCCCGAAGGGCGUAUACGGUAUUAGCUCCAGUUUCCCGGAGUUGUUCCGUAGGGAUGGGUAGAUUCCCACGCGUUACUCACUCGUCUGCCGCUCCCCUUGCGGGCGCUCGACUUGCAUGUGUUAAGCCUGCCGCCAGCGUUCGUUCUGAGCCAGGAUCAAACUCU